CAUUGAGAUGGAGUUAUUCGGUGAUGAUGAGAGGAUUGCAUGGAAAGAAGUGGUAUCACAAGAUGAAUACAUCACUGCCACCCAUUCAACAAGUGCUGUGUUGGGGGCAGGGCGUCCGGU
Molecule: long non-coding RNA, 120 nt
Organism: Coregonus clupeaformis (lake whitefish)
Lineage: Eukaryota; Metazoa; Chordata; Actinopteri; Salmoniformes; Salmonidae
Exons: 3
Source: RefSeq, a predicted model, not a curated record